This is a non-coding RNA of Xylariaceae sp. FL0594, 97 nucleotides long. The record is from the annotation of a GenBank genome assembly. Lineage: Eukaryota; Fungi; Ascomycota; Sordariomycetes; Xylariales; Xylariaceae.
GCGGGGAUAGCUCAGUUGGGAGAGCGUCAGACUGAAGCCUUAUAAAACUUCUGUCACUAAAAUCUGAAGGUCGUGCGUUCGAUCCGCACUCACCGCA